UCUGGCCUUGCCAGCAACUCUAUUCCUUCCCUGGCAUCAGAGCAGCACCUUCAGGAUUUCAGUGUAUACUGAAGACCAGCUGAGGCGUGAGCCUCUCGGGCUGAACACCCGCUGGAGACUUGGACCUUCUGUUCACAGCCAGCCUUUGUUGGAUUAGCUGGACCACAGCCUCAAUGAAUGUGGAACCCGGAACAUCUCAAGGAAACCCUAGCAGGUGUGAGAUUCAUUUCCACGUCCACCUAGCUGCAAAGCAGGAAUGCCCCCUCAACCUCCGGCCAUCCAUCCAGGGGCUUUAGAGAAGGGCCAACCGCCGCAGAGUUCUAAGACAGUUCUGUGAAGAGCCCUGGCCACCUGCCUCAGAGAAAGGCCUCAUACUACAAGCUCUCUCCCGGGCUCCUCAGUCUCAGAACUCCCGAGGGCCUGUCCCCACUGGAGUCUCUGCCAG
Meriones unguiculatus (Mongolian gerbil) is the source of this 445-nucleotide long non-coding RNA. RefSeq lists it as uncharacterized. The record is from RefSeq and is a predicted model, not a curated record. Lineage: Eukaryota; Metazoa; Chordata; Mammalia; Rodentia; Muridae. The transcript is spliced from 3 exons.